Long non-coding RNA from Oncorhynchus kisutch (coho salmon), 243 nucleotides. RefSeq lists it as uncharacterized. The transcript is spliced from 3 exons. The record is from RefSeq and is a predicted model, not a curated record. NCBI's taxonomy places the organism in Eukaryota, Metazoa, Chordata, Actinopteri, Salmoniformes, Salmonidae.
GAAAGCUGUGUAGCAAUCAUUCCAUUGCUGACCCAUAGGAUGGUAAUCACAUACAUGAUUGGCUUCAUCUAGAAUCAUGGAUACCUUUCAUACCUUCUCAUCACAAGUUGGAACUAGGUGUCAACAUUGGGACAAUGCAGCCAUAAAUAACAUGGACCAAUAUUUUCAUGGAGUGAGCAAGACCUGCCAGCAGAGCUCACUUGAGCAGGGAGACAUGCCGUCAUCCUUUUGGCGCCUGACAAA